GAUGAAGAACGCAGCGAAAUGCGAUACUUGGUGUGAAUUGCAGAAUCCCGUGAACCAUCGAGUCUUUGAACGCAAGUUGCGCCUCAAGACAUUAGGUUGAGGGCACGUCUGCCUGGGCGUCACAUAUCGUUGCCUGAUGCCAGUUUCCUCGUGAUGGGUGACUGUGCAGGGCGAAUGAUGGCUUCCCGUGAGCAUUGUUGCCUCAUGGUUGGUUGAAAAUUGAGUCCUUGGUAGGGAGCGCCGUGAUAGAUGGUGGUUGAGUGACGAACGAGACCCAAUCAUGUGAGACCCCUACCGAAUUUGGCCUUCAUGACCCACAUGCGUCUUUGGAACGCUCAUGACGAGACCUCAGGUCAGGCGGGGCUACCCGCUGAGUUUAAGCAUAUCAAUAAGCGGAGGA
This 400-nucleotide unclassified non-coding RNA is filed under the name soil metagenome. RNAcentral describes it as "partial contains 5.8S ribosomal RNA, internal transcribed spacer 2, and large subunit ribosomal RNA". The stretch from base 1 to 122 matches the Rfam family "5.8S ribosomal RNA", at positions 35 to 154 of the family's 154-position model. The record is from RNAcentral.